GUUGAAGGCCGUACAUUGACCUAUUUAUAAUGGUUUACCUUUAUAAAAUGUUAUUUAGAUGGAGAUGUGUCUCAUUGGCACUCACACCACAGCUUCCUAUAUCUAUAAAUAAAAUACAGGGAACAAACUUUUAACAAGAGAAAAGUUCAUUCUGAAAGUAUAAAAUAAAAUUGAGAAUGGAAAUUGGGAAUGUGUCAAAAAGAC
RNAcentral lists this long non-coding RNA (204 nucleotides) under Mytilus galloprovincialis (Mediterranean mussel). Lineage: Eukaryota; Metazoa; Mollusca; Bivalvia; Mytilida; Mytilidae. The record is from RNAcentral.